UGAGUUCCAGCAGUGCACAACCAUGAUCAUGAAGGUGGUUCUCCCAGGACGAGGCUAGCCUUUUGCACCUCGGGUGUGCUGAUGCCUGAGAUGUCCCCAAAUGCGGGAUACUCGACUGCAAAAUUUGUAGAUAAUACAUAGUGCUGCCACUGUGCGUU
Carcharodon carcharias (great white shark) is the source of this 158-nucleotide small nuclear RNA. RefSeq annotates it as U1 spliceosomal RNA. NCBI's taxonomy places the organism in Eukaryota, Metazoa, Chordata, Chondrichthyes, Lamniformes, Lamnidae. The transcript has a single exon. The record is from RefSeq and is a predicted model, not a curated record.